GAUCCUGGCUCAGGAUGAACGCUAGCUACAGGCUUAACACAUGCAAGUCGAGGGGCAGCAUUUCAGUUUGCUUGCAAACUGGAGAUGGCGACCGGCGCACGGGUGAGUAACACGUAUCCAACCUGCCGAUAACUCGGGGAUAGCCUUUCGAAAGAAAGAUUAAUACCCGAUAGUAUAAUGAAACCGCAUGGUCUUAUUAUUAAAGAAUUUCGGUUAUCGAUGGGGAGUGCGUUCCAUUAGGCAGUUGG
RNAcentral lists this ribosomal RNA (248 nucleotides) under uncultured bacterium. Its description in RNAcentral is "partial 16S ribosomal RNA". It matches the Rfam family "Bacterial small subunit ribosomal RNA", at positions 15 to 252 of the family's 1533-position model. The record is from RNAcentral.